CCUAGAGUUGUAGGCUUUGCCUGCUAUCUCUUACCCAUGUCUUUUGAGUACCUUCGUUUCCUCGGCGGGUCCGCCCGCCGAUUGGACAAUUUAAACCAUCUGCAGUUGCAAUCAGCGUCUGAAAAAACUUAAUAGGUUA
This 139-nucleotide unclassified non-coding RNA is filed under the name soil metagenome. RNAcentral's name for it is "partial internal transcribed spacer 1". The record is from RNAcentral.